CUACGGUGGGCUGCAGUGGGGAAUAUUGGACAAUGGGCGAAAGCCUGAUCCAGCCAUGCCGCGUGUGUGAAGAAGGCCUUCGGGUUGUAAAGCACUUUCAGUGGGGAAGAAAGCCUUGGGGCUAAUACCCUCGAGGAAGGACAUCACCCACAGAAGAAGCACCGGCUAACUCCGUGCCAGCAGCCGCGGUAAUACGGAGGGUGCGAGCGUUAAUCGGAAUUACUGGGCGUAAAGCGCGCGUAGGCGGUCUGAUAAGCCGGUUGUGAAAGCCCCGGGCUCAACCUGGGAACGGCAUCCGGAACUGUCAGGCUAGAGUGCAGGAGAGGAAGGUAGAAUUCCCGGUGUAGCGGUGAAAUGCGUAGAGAUCGGGAGGAAUACCAGUGGCGAAGGCGGCCUUCUGGACUGACACUGACGCUGAGGUGCGAAAGCGUGGGUAGCAAACAGGAUUAGAUACCCGAGUAGUC
Molecule: ribosomal RNA, 464 nt
Filed under: Vreelandella stevensii
Lineage: Bacteria; Pseudomonadati; Pseudomonadota; Gammaproteobacteria; Oceanospirillales; Halomonadaceae
Description: partial 16S ribosomal RNA
Rfam family: Bacterial small subunit ribosomal RNA
Source: RNAcentral